This 495-nucleotide long non-coding RNA is filed under the name Oryza sativa Indica Group (long-grained rice). RNAcentral describes it as "lncRNA OsMH63_07G013620". The record is from RNAcentral. Lineage: Eukaryota; Viridiplantae; Streptophyta; Magnoliopsida; Poales; Poaceae.
UCGAUCUGGCCGUCCAAGUGUCCCAGCCUGGCUACCCUUCCAUCAUUGUCAGAUCGUUGGAUUGGGAACGGACGGUAUGGAUUUGCCAAAAACCCUAGGCACCUUAACCUCGCACCACUGAACGCACAGCUCGGCCACCCGAUGCUCUUCUCAUCCACGCCGCCUCGCCCUCCUCUCCUCGCGCGCGUCGCCGCCUUGCCCUCCUCCCGCUGCCAGCAGCCCGCCCUCACCUCUCUUCCUGUGGAUCCGGCUGCUCGGGACCUUGGAAGCGAGGGAGCAAGCCGUCGCUGCCACCCUCUACUACUCUCCUUCUCUGCACCUCCACCACCCCUCUCCUCUCAGCUCCACCCGAGGUCGCCGGAUUUGGUAGGAGGAGAAGGUAGGAACGGUGCAGCUGUUGGGGAGAAGGAAGGAGGAGGGUCGCAGCUUGGCCAUUACUGUGAUGACGACGACUGUUGCUCGGUCAAGUCGAUGGCUAGGGAUGGCGGCGGCUAG